This 448-nucleotide ribosomal RNA is filed under the name uncultured bacterium. RNAcentral describes it as "bacterial SSU rRNA". It matches the Rfam family "Bacterial small subunit ribosomal RNA", at positions 59 to 518 of the family's 1533-position model. The record is from RNAcentral.
ACCUGAUUGAGUGAUUAGCUUGCUAUGAACUCAUGACUGGUUAGCGGCGGACGGGUGAGUAACGCGUGGGUAACCUGCCUCAUACAGGGGGAUAGCAGUUGGAAACGACUGGUAAUACCGCAUAAGCGCACAGUACCGCAUGGUACAGUGUGAAAAACUCCGGUGGUAUGAGAUGGACCCGCGUCCGAUUAGCCAGUUGGCGGGGUAACGGCCCACCAAAGCGACGAUCGGUAGCCGGCCUGAGAGGGCGGACGGCCACAUUGGGACUGAGACACGGCCCAGACUCCUACGGGAGGCAGCAAUGGGGGAUAUUGCACAAUGGAAGAAACUCUGAUGCAGCGACGCCGCGUGGGUGAAGAAGUAUUUCGGUAUGUAAAGCCCUAUCAGCAGGGACGAUAAUGACGGUACCUGACUAAGAAGCCCCGGCUAACUACGUGCCAGCCGCCGC